RNAcentral lists this long non-coding RNA (1226 nucleotides) under Panax ginseng (ginseng). RNAcentral describes it as "long non-coding RNA (PGIN_LNC009552)". Lineage: Eukaryota; Viridiplantae; Streptophyta; Magnoliopsida; Apiales; Araliaceae. The record is from RNAcentral.
GUUGUUAUAGAGAACAUGGAUGCUACUGAGGUGAGUUCAUUAAACUUCCCCCAUUGAUUUUUUUCUUUUAUUUUUUGGGCUUUUCAAGUCUUUAAUAGUUGUUGUAGCUUUGCAAUGCUUCUAAUCUGUUGAUUUCAUUUGCAAAGAGUUGAGCAUUAUGGAAUAAUGUACUGUUCCUUUGCAGGAUCAAUUUGACUGCAUUGAUUUGUCUGACAAUGAGAUAGGUAAGCUUGAAAAUUUUCCCUAUCUAAAUCGACUUGGUACUUAGUUGCUAAACAACAAUAGAAUUACCCGUAUCAAUCCUAGCAUUUGGGUUAAAAUUUUGUGCAAACUCUUUGAGAAUUGAAAAGGAAGGGAUUACUCUAAUUAGGAGAUGCAAGUAGAUGUCUUAAUUUGGUUCAACUGUACAAAUUUGAUCUGUCUACUUCCAUUAUUUUAGAAAAUAGAAAAGCACUCUUUUUUGUUUUCUGUGUUUUUUAUUUAUUAAUUUUUUUUGUUGCUAAUUAUGUUUUUUUUAUUUUGUCUUUCGUUUCUCUUUUUUAACUGAGAGUUAAAUCAAAACAAGAAAAGAAAUUUUGAGCCGAAUUUUCAAUCACCACCUAGAAACUGCAAUUGAGAUCAUGAUUGUUAUAUAAUUUAAUUCGAACUCUGAUAGUGGUAUAUGUCUGAUGGAUCAGUUUCUCUUGUAGGGACUUACUGAGAAGUUCAAGGAGAAGGACAUUGCAUACUUGUUCAAGGCUUUAUUCGUUCAAGAUUCUAGCACUCGUCUGUUUGAUGCUUUGGAGCAUUGUGGACUUGCAUUUGGAUAUACUAUAAGGUUGCAUAAGGAUUCUGUUUUUGUUAUGUGCUAACCCUGAUCAGUGUCAUCAAAAUUCAGAAGCUCCUACUUGGGAAUUAUUCCUUGAUUUUGCUACUUUGGAAUUUCUUUGUAACCAUCUCCGUGCAAGAAGAUGCUUAAAUAGGAAAAAUUUGUAAUUAUAAUUUGGAAGAUGUAAUGAAGCAAAGAUAUUAGCGCAAUAUUUGUUUGAUGCAUUUCUAUCUCAUUUUGGUACAUAUUGGCAUGUGCUCUUGUAUUGAAAAUCCCUCUUCACUGAAACAUCACCCUGGUCCAUAUAAAAUGAAAGCAAAUAUACUAGUUUUAUAUAUCACGCUAGCAUUUUGCACAUCACUGUCGAAUUUGGAGAUGGGGUAUGUCGAGCCUCUGAUCAUGUAAUAGAUAACUUGUG